UGGAACAAUGUGACGACAGACUCAUACCAGUUAAGAGAAAGAAGACGAAAUGAGAUGCAAAAAGCCCGUCCGAGGUUCCUGCCUCUAAUAAUGAAGAAAAAUUUGGAUGGAUUUAAAGAUAAAAAAGAAAGAAAUGUGGGAAUUAAUGUCAAAAUUUGUAGCGUUAAUUGUCAAAUCUUACAUACAAAUGCAUCGACAAACACUCUUGCACAUAUGCAAAAUUUCGAAGGAAUUCACAACCCUGGAUUUAUUAGAAAUCACGAAAAAGAGAUAUAUUGGUUAUCACUUAAAAUUUCAGAGGUAUACGAUGAAUAAUUAAUGAAGACAGUCAAGAUCUGAAAUCGGCAUUUCUUUCAGAUGUUUGUUUACUUUUUUACCUAGAUGACAACAUAACCUCAAACCUCCUUCAGUUCCUCACCCUCUGCCAUGGGCUAUCAGACAAUUGUAUCAGACCAUUUUUCAAAUUGUUCUCAUUCCGCUAAUCAAGGAUUGAUAAAUUAACAUGGAAAUCCUGUGAUGAUUUUCAGACGAAAUUUCCAGUUCUUCAAGUAUUGAUCAUAGUUUUCUAUCAAACAUGAGUUCAUCACGCAGUUCUUCCCCAUCAAAAACAGUCCGAAUCAGCUACACAGAUUCAACAAACGAUCUCCAAAUUCAUCCUGAAAAUAACAUCUACAAGCUUAAUCCUGAUACAUUAAGUCGACUGAUCAUAGGUAAAAAGUUGAAGGAUUUAAUUGUGCACAGUCGGCAAGACGUGUCCGUACCAUGGUCAGAUGUUGCAUCAAGCAGCUCAGAAGACUCAGCUGAUGAAAGUGAACAGAGAUCAUCCUCUCACCCAGAACAGAACGGUUCACAGACUUCAGAUAAUCCAGAAUCCUCUUCAAUACCGAAGAAAGUUGCUCAGAUGAUGAAGGGAAUUCUAGCAAAGCUGUGCUAAAUCACUCAAGAAGCAAUCCUGAAGCAGUUAGUCCCAGCACUCCUCUGGCUAAUAUUUGGUUUUUCCUUUAAAGAUGGAGCAAAAGACAUUUGAUGACAGCAAUUGGAUAAAAUGUGUGGGUAAGUAAUCAUAACGUUUAAAUGCUCAGUUAUAUGCUCAUCUUUCCCCAUGUCCACAAGUUUUUCCGUGUCUGAAGAAGGCCAACUGUCAGAUGAAACCAUCCGUAUUCACGACCUAAGUCCAUUCUGUUGUACUUGAUGCAUCCUGAACUUUUAAAUUUAAGUUUCCCAAAACUCUUUCUUACCAAAGUUGGAUUUUUCAUAUCUAA
RNAcentral lists this long non-coding RNA (1262 nucleotides) under Bemisia tabaci. RNAcentral describes it as "lncRNA ENSSSA2NGG002857". The record is from RNAcentral. Lineage: Eukaryota; Metazoa; Arthropoda; Insecta; Hemiptera; Aleyrodidae.